GCUGUCGCAAAAUCGACAGCCGGGAUUUGCAGCCCGUGUAACUUCAAGGCGACACAACACGCGCCGAGCGUGUUUUUU
Molecule: small RNA, 78 nt
Filed under: Salmonella enterica
Lineage: Bacteria; Pseudomonadati; Pseudomonadota; Gammaproteobacteria; Enterobacterales; Enterobacteriaceae
Description: isrK
Rfam family: isrK Hfq binding RNA
Source: RNAcentral